Long non-coding RNA from Saccostrea cuccullata (small rock oyster), 240 nucleotides. RefSeq lists it as uncharacterized. The transcript is spliced from 3 exons. Lineage: Eukaryota; Metazoa; Mollusca; Bivalvia; Ostreida; Ostreidae. The record is from RefSeq and is a predicted model, not a curated record.
UACACAAAGCCAGAUCGGACGGUGCAUACAGCAUACACAAAGCCAGAUCAGACGGUGAAGGUUUCAGACUAAAGCAAUAAUUUGUUUAUGAUGUCAGAGCUACAUAACAAGGUCAUGACAUCAGAGUUUCCUUAUACUGAAAACUACAGAUUUGAUACUGAGACCACUAUAAAGAAGGAGCCACUUGGGAUUUCUGACUCUGUGGAGGAGGAGGAAAACCAACAGCUUGUAAUAGUGAAG